CGGAAAGUUAAGGAGGAAGGAGCAAUGAGUUGUGGGAAAUGGAAGGGAAAUGAAACUGUUAGAUAAGCAGGCCAGCUAAAAUUCCCUCAGGAAAAAAAAUUCAUUACAAUCUGUCUGAAUCACCGAAGAGUUUGGGGGAAGACAUUAAAACAGAAGCAGAAUCUGAGCUCACUUCAACGGACAUUAGUUGUGCCAUUUGGUGUCUGCAGGGCACUGGGCUAGGUGUCAGAGGACAGAGGUGAGGAAGAAGUCGUCCCGCCCUGAAGGAUCUCAGUCUAGUCAGAGACAAGCUGUAAAUGGAUUAGUUCAAUAUGCUGUGGUGAUGAUAGUGAAGCUUGCUCUGGAGGAUGCUGUGAGGUCCGCUCUGGAGAUAGUUGCAAAGGGCCGUGGAUUGUUGUGCUCCUGGUGGACGGCACCAUUCCUGAGAUGGCUCUCCAUCCAUUUUUCCUGCUUGGCUGUUUUCUGGAAAGUGGAGAAAAAUGAUGGAGCUCUGCCCCAAGGAUCUCCUCUCACCACGAAUGCUAACAGAGCAGACACUCUGAACCGGCGGAGACGACUCAGCAUUUCCGAGGCUAUGAAGAGGAUUCAGUGCCCUGGAGCCACUAUGGAUCAUAUUUCUCACUGCACAGAGACAGUCUGCCUGAGAAUUGGUCCACCACAGUGAGAAGCAGAGCCGAGGGAUGGAGAAGGAAGAGCUACACCAUGAUGGGACCACUGGGCUCCACCAGCAACUAAAACCAGGUCGUACUACUCCUGUAUUUUUCACUUAGAUGAACCAACAAAUCAAUUUCUUUGUCUUCCCUCCUGCCUCCCUGUCUUUUUUUCUCUUUUUUCCUUUUUUGUUAAAUUGGUUUGAAUUGAGAUGCUGACUGGUAGAGAGUCCUUACUAUACCUUCAUGAUCGUUAUUAUCACCUUAGAAAAUGCUAUGAACUUAAAAAAAAUUCCUGUAUGUUUGUAUAUCUUUGAAAUUUGUAUACACACAUUUGUGCUUGAUGAUUAGGAUGAACAUUCUUUUUCUCAUUUGUGAAUCAUGUAUUCAUGUUUUGGUCCACUUAUUUAUUAAGUUUUUAGUUUUAAAAGCAUUUGCAUAAGUUUAUUUCAUGCUGAAGAUAUAUGGGCUACAUGUUUGUGAAAAUGCUUUUCCCACAUAGUUGUUUGUUUAUGUUAUGAGUCUUUUACCUAGGGAAAUUUGCUUUUUGUUUGUACAAUAUAAAUUAUCUUUUAAUAAAAAUUUGUUUUUUGGUAAAAUUAAAUUAUUUUUCUUUGUAAAUUUUCCUACUGUUUUUAAAUUUACAACUCCCUUCUUUAUAGAAUUUUUGUUUGCGUUUUCAGUUUUAAACAUUCAGAACUUAUUUAAGUGUGUGAUUUGAGUUGAGUUUUUGUGUUGACUUUUUUCUGCCUAUUCGCUAUUUUUUUGCUUCAACAAUGUUGACUAAUCUGUUAAUUUCCAAUUGGCUUAUAAUGCCUUUAAAAAAAUCAGAUGCUAUGUUCUUGUAAACAUAAGAACAUAUGGUAAGUUUUGUUUGGGUGUUAUUUAUGGUGUUUCAUUUAUAUUUAAGCGUAUUUCUAAGUUUAUAUGUAUAAUAGGAUUUUGGUUCUACACCAUGUCUAAUUUUAACCACACAGAGACAGGCAGCUAUUAUUGUGAAUAGCACCACUUUUGAUUACACAGGGCAGUAAAAUAUAGUAUGUUCCUUAAUUAUUUCUAGGACACAAUUAUGUAUUGAUAGCUACUGUCUAUUGAGGCUUCCCAUGUCCUAGACACUCUGCUAAAUUUUAAUUCUUAUCACAACUCUAUAUGGUAGAUAUGAUUAUCCUCCUUCAUAGAAAUGAGUUUGUUAUUAUUUUCAUAUUGCGAUGAAAUAUUUUUCCAAUUUUUCAGUUUUAAUUUCUAAUUUGAUAAAGCUUGAUAGGUAAAACUCCCAUAACCAAAACUUUUAGGAGCAUGAACGUGUCCUGGGAUGAAGAAGAUUGAGAGCCGCUGAUGUAGCUCACAGUAGUCUUCAUAAAAUUAUUAGGUGUUAACAUUAUUAUUAAGUUUUGAAUAUUUAAGUAUAAUUGGUGUACAAUAAAUUGCGUAUACUUGAGUGUAUACUUUGAUGAGUUUGACAAAUGAGUACUCCCAUGAAACCAUCACCAUGAUUAAGAUAAUGACCACAUCUAUCACUCCCAGAUUGCUUUGUAAUCCAUCCCUCCCUCCCCAGGGGUUCCAUAGCCAACAAACCCACUGGUCUGCUUUCUGUCAAUAUAGUUGGCAUUUCCUAGAGUUUCAUAUAAAUAGAAUCAUAUAGCAUGCAUUAUUUUGUGACUUGCUUUAUACAACUCAGCAUAAUUAUUUUGAGAUUUAUUCAUCCAUGUUGUCAUGUAUAUCCAGAGUUAGUUCCCUUUUAUUGUUGAGUAGUAUUCCAUUGUAUGGAUAUACCACAAUGUAUUUAUCCAUUCAACUGUUGAUUGACAUUUCAGUUGUUUGCAUUUUUGGCUAUUACACGUAAAACUACUAUGAACAUUCAUGUACAAGUCUUUGUGUAGAUGUAUGAAUUUCUCUUAGAUAAAUGCCUAGGAGUGGAAUGUCUGGGUAGUAAAUGUUUAGCUAUUUAAGAAACUGCCAAAUUAUUUUCCAAAGUGAUUGUACAAUUUUACAUUUCCUAAAUUUCCAUCAGCAGUGUGUGAAAGUUUCAGUUCCUCCACUUACUUGCUAACAUUUGGUAUGACGAGUUAAAAAAUUUUAAAGGCGUUUUGGUGGGUAUGUAGUGGUAUCUCAUUGUGAUUUUCAUGUUUUGUUGCCAUUCAUAUCUCUUCCUUGGUGUUGUAUCUGUUCAAAUCUCACCAAUUUGAAAAAUUGGGUUGUUUGUUUGCAUU
Long non-coding RNA from Equus caballus (horse), 2860 nucleotides. The record is from Ensembl. Lineage: Eukaryota; Metazoa; Chordata; Mammalia; Perissodactyla; Equidae.